CAGCAGCCGCGGUAAUACGUAGGGUGCGAGCGUUAAUCGGAAUUACUGGGCGUAAAGCGUGCGCAGGCGGCUAUGCAAGACAGAUGUGAAAUCCCCGGGCUCAACCUGGGAACUGCAUUUGUGACUGCAUGGCUAGAGUACGGUAGAGGGGGAUGGAAUUCCGCGUGUAGCAGUGAAAUGCGUAGAUAUGCGGAGGAACACCGAUGGCGAAGGCAAUCCCCUGGACCUGUACUGACGCUCAUGCACGAAAGCGUGGGGAGCAAACAGGAUUAGAGACCCCUGUAGUCCUGUCUCUUUAACC
Molecule: ribosomal RNA, 301 nt
Filed under: uncultured bacterium
Lineage: Bacteria
Description: partial 16S ribosomal RNA
Rfam family: Bacterial small subunit ribosomal RNA
Source: RNAcentral